This 1201-nucleotide ribosomal RNA is filed under the name Sulfurimonas paralvinellae. Its description in RNAcentral is "bacterial SSU rRNA". The record is from RNAcentral. Lineage: Bacteria; Pseudomonadati; Campylobacterota; Epsilonproteobacteria; Campylobacterales; Sulfurimonadaceae.
CUAAGAGAUCGGUCCUAUUCCAUCAGCUAGUGUAGGUAAGACUACAGCRAUGACGGUAGCGGUUUGAGAGAUGAUCGCACACUGUACUGAGACACGACAGACUCUACGGAGCAGCAGUGAGGAUAUGCACAUGGGGGAAACCUGAUGCAGCAACGCGCGUGGAGGAUGACGCAUUUCGGUGUGUAAACUCCUUUUAUAUGUCAAGAAAAUGACGUAGCAUAUGAAUAAGCACCGGCUAACUCCGUGCCAGCAGCCGCGGUAAUACGGAGGGUGCAAGCGUUAUUCGGAAUCACUGGGCGUAAAGGACGCGUAGGCGGGUUUGUAAGUCAGGUGUGAAAUCCUACAGCUUAACUGUAGAACUGCACUUGAAACUACAARCCUAGAGUAUGGGAGGGGCAGAUGGAAUUAGUGGUGUAGGGGUAAAAUCCGUAGAUAUCACUAGGAAUACCGAAAGCGAAGGCGAUCUGCUGGAACAUAACUGACGCUAAGGCGUGAAAGCGUGGGGAGCAAACAGGAUUAGAUACCCUGGUAGUCCACGCCCUAAACGAUGAACACUAGUCGUCGGGAUGCUAGUCAUCUCGGUGAUGCACUUAACAGAUUAAGUGUUCCGCCUGGGGAGUACGGUCGCAAGAUUAAAACUCAAAGGAAUAGACGGGGACCCGCACAAGUGGUGGAGCAUGUGGUUUAAUUCGAAGAUACGCGAAGAACCUUACCUAGCCUUGACAUUGAUGGAACCUGCCAGAGAUGGCGGGGUGCCCUUCGGGGAACCUGAAAACAGGUGCUGCACGGCUGUCGUCAGCUCGUGUCGUGAGAUGUUGGGUUAAGUCCCGCAACGAGCGCAACCCUCGUCCUUAGUUGCUAGCAGUUCGGCUGAGCACUCUAAGGAGACUGCCUUCGCAAGGAGGAGGAAGGUGAGGACGACGUCAAGUCAUCAUGGCCCUUAUGGCUAGGGCUACACACGUGCUACAAUGGGGCGUACAGAGUGUUGCGAUACCGCGAGGUGGAGCUAAUCACUUAAAGCGUCUCUCAGUUCGGAUUGGAGUCUGCAACUCGACUCCAUGAAGCUGGAAUCACUAGUAAUCGUAGAUCAGCAAUGCUACGGUGAAUACGUUCCCGGGUCUUGUACUCACCGCCCGUCACACCAUGGGAGUUGAUUUCACCCGAAAUCGGGAAGCCAACCUUCGGGGGGCUACCGCUACGG